CCCAGUGUGGCAUAGUGGUUUGAGUUUUGGACUACACUCUAGAGAGCAGGGUUCGAUUCCCUGCUCAGCCA
Molecule: non-coding RNA, 71 nt
Organism: Phrynosoma platyrhinos (Desert horned lizard)
Lineage: Eukaryota; Metazoa; Chordata; Lepidosauria; Squamata; Phrynosomatidae
Source: the annotation of a GenBank genome assembly